AGAGCGAACGCUGGCGGCAGGCCUAAUACAUGCAAGUCGAACGGAUCCUUCGGGAUUAGUGGCGGACGGGUGAGUAACACGUGGGAACGUGCCCUUUGGUUCGGAACAACUCAGGGAAACUUGAGCUAAUACCGAAUGUGCCCUUCGGGGGAAAGAUUUAUCGCCAUUGGAGCGGCCCGCGUCUGAUUAGCUAGUUGGUGGGGUAAAGGCCCACCAAGGCGACGAUCAGUAGCUGGUCUGAGAGGAUGAUCAGCCACACUGGGACUGAGACACGGCCCAGACUCCUACGGGAGGCAGCAGUAGGGAAUCUUGCGCAAUGGGCGAAAGCCUGACGCAGCCAUGCCGCGUGAAUGAUGAAGGUCUUAGGAUUGUAAAAUUCUUUCAGCGGGACGAUAAUGACGGUACCGCAGAAGAAGCCCCGGCUAACUUCGCGCCAGCAGCCGC
This 444-nucleotide ribosomal RNA is filed under the name uncultured bacterium. RNAcentral's name for it is "SSU rRNA". It matches the Rfam family "Bacterial small subunit ribosomal RNA", at positions 26 to 518 of the family's 1533-position model. The record is from RNAcentral.